RNAcentral lists this ribosomal RNA (371 nucleotides) under uncultured bacterium. Its description in RNAcentral is "bacterial SSU rRNA". It matches the Rfam family "Bacterial small subunit ribosomal RNA", at positions 527 to 896 of the family's 1533-position model. The record is from RNAcentral.
AGAGGUGGCAAGCGUUGUUCGGAAUUACUGGGCGUAAAGGGCGCGUAGGCGGUUGAUUAAGUCCCGUGUGAAAUCCCUCGGCUCAACUGAGGAACUGCACGGGAAACUGGCCGACUUGAGUUCGGGAGAGGGAAGCGGAAUUCCGGGUGUAGCGGUGAAAUGCGUAGAUAUCCGGAGGAACACCGGUGGCGAAGGCGGCUUCCUGGACCGAUACUGACGCUGAGGCGCGAAAGCUAGGGGAGCAAACGGGAUUAGAUACCCCGGUAGUCCUAGCUGUAAACGAUGAGUGCUGGGUGUAGGGGGUAUUAACCCCUCCUGUGCCGAAGCUAACGCAUUAAGCACUCCGCCUGGGGAGUACGGUCGCAAGGCUG